CUCUUUAAGAAUCUAAUUUAAAGUAAAACCUGCUCAGUGACAAGUUUAAACAGCCGCAGUUAUCCUGUGCUAAGGUAGCAUAAUCAUUAGCUUCAUAAUUGGAAGAUAGAAUGAAAGGUUAAACAAAAAAUAACUAUCUCAAACCAAAUAUUAAAUUUGACUUAAAAGUAAAAAGGCUUUUAUAAAAUCACAAGACGAUAAGACCCUGACAAACUUAAAAUUUAAUUGGGGCAAUAAAUUAAAAACACUUUAAUUUUUAUCAUAACAUAACUUAUCAAAUAAAUAAAGUCUAGUUACUGCAGGGAUAACAGCGCAAUGUUUUUUUAAAGCUCUAAUAAAAAAAAACGAUUACGACCUCGAUGUUGAAUUAGUUUAACUUUUCGGAGCAAAAUCUGAAUAAGUUGGUCUGUUCGACCAUUAUAAAACU
Molecule: ribosomal RNA, 427 nt
Filed under: Crossopriza lyoni
Lineage: Eukaryota; Metazoa; Arthropoda; Arachnida; Araneae; Pholcidae
Description: partial 16S ribosomal RNA
Source: RNAcentral